AAGUCGUAACAAUUCCGUAGGCGGAAGGAUCAUUAACACGUAUCCAACGUUAAACCCCCCUGUGAACCUUCAUUGUGCUCCCCAUUCCGUGAGGACGCGGCAAUCCCUGGUAAAUCAUCGCCGAACAGUUUUGAUUCAGGGACCUCUGCAUUGAGUGGGCAGCGCGAGGCAAGUGGCCAGGCAUUCGAAAGAAUGGCGCGCCGACACGGCCGGCGACCGGGUCCAACUGUUAACAAUGGAUAUCUUGGUUCUC
RNAcentral lists this unclassified non-coding RNA (253 nucleotides) under fungal sp. RNAcentral describes it as "partial internal transcribed spacer region". Lineage: Eukaryota; Fungi. The record is from RNAcentral.